AUUGAACGCUGGCGGCAUGCCUAACACAUGCAAGUCGAACGGCAGCACAGGUAGCAAUACCGGGUGGCGAGUGGCGGACGGGUGAGUAAUGCAUCGGGAUCUACCCAGACGUGGGGGAUAACCUCGGGAAACCGGGACUAAUACCGCAUACGUCCUACGGGAGAAAGCGGGGGCUCUUCGGACCUCGCGCGGCUGGACGAACCGAUGUGCGAUUAGCUAGUUGGAGGGGUAAUGGCCCACCAAGGCGACGAUCGCUAGCUGGUCUGAGAGGAUGAUCAGCCACACUGGGACUGAGACACGGCCCAGACUCCUACGGGAGGCAGCAGUGGGGAAUAUUGGACAAUGGGCGCAAGCCUGAUCCAGCAAUGCCGCGUGUGUGAAGAAGGCCUCGGUUGUAAGCGACUUUAUCAGAGCGAAAUGCCACUGGCCGAAGUACCCCGUCGGAGCUGACGGUACCUGAGGAAGUAAGACACCGGCUAACUUCGUGCCACG
RNAcentral lists this ribosomal RNA (492 nucleotides) under uncultured bacterium. RNAcentral describes it as "bacterial SSU rRNA". It matches the Rfam family "Bacterial small subunit ribosomal RNA", at positions 29 to 512 of the family's 1533-position model. The record is from RNAcentral.